RNAcentral lists this ribosomal RNA (289 nucleotides) under uncultured bacterium. RNAcentral's name for it is "partial 16S ribosomal RNA". It matches the Rfam family "Bacterial small subunit ribosomal RNA", at positions 773 to 1060 of the family's 1533-position model. The record is from RNAcentral.
GUGGAUUAGAUACCCUGGUAGUCCAUGCCGUAAACGUUGGGAACUAGAUGUAGGGCCUGUUCCACGGGUUCUGUGUCGUAGCUAACGCAUUAAGUUCCCCGCCUGGGGAGUACGGCCGCAAGGCUAAAACUCAAAGGAAUUGACGGGGGCCCGCACAAGCGGCGGAGCAUGCGGAUUAAUUCGAUGCAACGCGAAGAACCUUACCAAGGCUUGACAUAUACGGGAAUACUGCAGAAAUGUAGGACUCUUUGGACACUCGUAUACAGGUGGUGCACGGUUGUCGUCAGCU